GAUGAACGCUGGCGGCGUGCCUAAUACAUGCAAGUCGAGCGAACAGACGAGAGUGCUUGCCCUCUCUGACGUUAGCGGCGGACGGGUGAGUAACACGUGGGUAACCUACCUAUAAGACUGGGAUAACUUCGGGAAACCGGAGCUAAUACCGGAUAAUAUUUAGCUUCGCAUGAAGCAAUAGUGAAAGACGGUUCUGCUGUCACUUAUAGAUGGACCCGCGGUGUAUUAGCUAGUUGGUGAGGUAACGGCUCACCAAGGCAACGAUACAUAGCCGACCUGAGAGGGUGAUCGGCCACACUGGGACUGAGACACGGCCCAGACUCCUACGGGAGGCAGCAGUAGGGAAUCUUCCGCAAUGGACGAAAGUCUGACGGAGCAAUGCCGCGUGAGUGAAGAAGGUUUUCGGAUCGUAAAACUCUGUUGUAAGGGAAGAACAAGUACGUUAGUAACUGAACGUACCUUGACGGUACCUUACCAGAAAGCCACGGCUAACUACGU
This 498-nucleotide ribosomal RNA is filed under the name uncultured bacterium. RNAcentral describes it as "partial 16S ribosomal RNA". It matches the Rfam family "Bacterial small subunit ribosomal RNA", at positions 28 to 506 of the family's 1533-position model. The record is from RNAcentral.